UACGGAGGAUCCAAGCGUUAUCCGGAUUUAUUGGGUUUAAAGGGUGCGUAGGCGGACUUAUAAGUCAGUGGUGAAAGUUUGCAGCUUAACUGUAAAAUUGCCGUUGAAACUGUUAGUCUUGAGUGUAAAUAAGGUAGGCGGAAUGUGUUGUGUAGCGGUGAAAUGCUUAGAUAUAACACAGAACACCAAUUGCGAAGGCAGCUUACUGGGAUACAACUGACGCUGAGGCACGAAAGCGUGGGGAUCAAACAGG
Molecule: ribosomal RNA, 253 nt
Filed under: uncultured bacterium
Lineage: Bacteria
Description: partial 16S ribosomal RNA
Rfam family: Bacterial small subunit ribosomal RNA
Source: RNAcentral